Molecule: small nucleolar RNA, 81 nt
Organism: Gasterosteus aculeatus aculeatus (three-spined stickleback)
Lineage: Eukaryota; Metazoa; Chordata; Actinopteri; Perciformes; Gasterosteidae
Product: small nucleolar RNA, C/D box 68
Source: Ensembl
UGAUGAUAAAACUCCGGAAUCUCUGUAUUUUCUUGAUGAAUACUUUGAACCCUUAUAUCUGAUGACUGCUGUUUAUUACUC